UAGUGUUAUGAGCCUGGUGAUAGUUUGACAAGGCUUUGGUGGAGGUUGUGUUAGUAUUGCCAUGGGUAGUGUUAUGAGCCUGGUGAUAGUUUGACAAGGCUUUGGUGGAGGUUGUGUUAGUAUUGCCAUGGGUAGUGUUAUGAGCCUGGUGAUAGUUUGACAAGGCUUUGGUGGAGGUUGUGUUAGUAUUGCCAUGGGUAGUGUUAUGAGCCUGGUGAUAGUUUGACAAGGCUUUGGUGGAGGUUGUGUUAGUAUUGCCAUGGGUAGUGUUAUGAGCCUGGUGAUAGUUUGACAAGGCUUUGGUGGAGGUUGUGUUAGUAUUGCCAUGGGUAGUGUUAUGAGCCUGGUGAUAGUUUGACAAGGCUUUGGUGGAGGUUGUGUUAGUAUUGCCAUGGGUAGUGUUAUGAGCCUGGUGAUAGUUUGACAAGGCUUUGGUGGAGGUUGUGUUAGUAUUGCCAUGGGUAGUGUUAUGAGCCUGGUGAUAGUUUGACAAGGCUUUGGUGGAGGUUGUGUUAGUAUUGCCAUGGGUAGUGUUAUGAGCCUGGUGAUAGUUUGACAAGGCUUUGGUGGAGGUUGUGUUAGUAUUGCCAUGGGUAGUGUUAUGAGCCUGGUGAUAGUUUGACAAGGCUUUGGUGGAGGUUGUGUUAGUAUUGCCAUGGGUAGUGUUAUGAGCCUAGUGAUAGUUUGCCAAGACUUCUGCACCAUGGACGUGAAAACACUCAUGAGAAUCCUACUUCAUUCAUUCAUUCAUAAUUUCUAGAGGCUGAACAACACCCUGGCGGACUGUUUAUAGACUGACCUGCCGCACAAUUACCUUCUUCCUGCACAAAAUUACCCCUUUUCCGAGACUCCUCCCCCACGCGAGACAUCUAUAGGCUCUUCGUCUCAUCAGCUCUCCUCCUCUUACUGAUAGUCUUCUACCUCUUAAAUUCC
Eriocheir sinensis (Chinese mitten crab) is the source of this 933-nucleotide long non-coding RNA. RefSeq lists it as uncharacterized. Lineage: Eukaryota; Metazoa; Arthropoda; Malacostraca; Decapoda; Varunidae. The transcript has 5 exons. The record is from RefSeq and is a predicted model, not a curated record.